Non-coding RNA from Triticum aestivum (bread wheat), 115 nucleotides. The record is from Rfam. Lineage: Eukaryota; Viridiplantae; Streptophyta; Magnoliopsida; Poales; Poaceae.
UUUAUACUCUCUCCGUUCAGAAAUACUUGUCGCAGAAAUGCAUAAAAAUGAAUGUAUAUAGAACUAAAAUACAUACAUUCCUUUGACAAGUAUUUCUGAACGGAGGAAGUAUAUA